This 1046-nucleotide ribosomal RNA is filed under the name Massilia niabensis. RNAcentral's name for it is "bacterial SSU rRNA". It matches the Rfam family "Bacterial small subunit ribosomal RNA", at positions 431 to 1472 of the family's 1533-position model. Lineage: Bacteria; Pseudomonadati; Pseudomonadota; Betaproteobacteria; Burkholderiales; Oxalobacteraceae. The record is from RNAcentral.
CUUUUUUGUCAGGGAAGAAACGGUGGGGGCUAAUAUCCAUGGCUAAUGACGGUACCUGAAGAAUAAGCCCCGGCUAACUACGUGCCAGCAGCCGCGGUAAUACGUAGGGUGCAAGCGUUAAUCGGAAUUACUGGGCGUAAAGCGUGCGCAGGCGGUUUUGUAAGUCUGUCGUGAAAUCCCCGGGCUCAACCUGGGAAUUGCGAUGGAGACUGCAAGGCUAGAAUCUGGCAGAGGGGGGUAGAAUUCCACGUGUAGCAGUGAAAUGCGUAGAGAUGUGGAGGAACACCGAUGGCGAAGGCAGCCCCCUGGGUCAAGAUUGACGCUCAUGCACGAAAGCGUGGGGAGCAAACAGGAUUAGAUACCCUGGUAGUCCACGCCCUAAACGAUGUCUACUAGUUGUCGGGUUUUAAUUAACUUGGUAACGCAGCUAACGCGUGAAGUAGACCGCCUGGGGAGUACGGUCGCAAGAUUAAAACUCAAAGGAAUUGACGGGGACCCGCACAAGCGGUGGAUGAUGUGGAUUAAUUCGAUGCAACGCGAAAAACCUUACCUACCCUUGACAUGUACGGAAGCCUCGAGAGAUCGAGGUGUGCUCGAAAGAGAGCCGUAACACAGGUGCUGCAUGGCUGUCGUCAGCUCGUGUCGUGAGAUGUUGGGUUAAGUCCCGCAACGAGCGCAACCCUUGUCAUUAGUUGCUACAUUUAGUUGAGCACUCUAAUGAGACUGCCGGUGACAAACCGGAGGAAGGUGGGGAUGACGUCAAGUCCUCAUGGCCCUUAUGGGUAGGGCUUCACACGUCAUACAAUGGUACAUACAGAGGGCCGCCAACCCGCGAGGGGGAGCUAAUCCCAGAAAGUGUAUCGUAGUCCGGAUCGCAGUCUGCAACUCGACUGCGUGAAGUUGGAAUCGCUAGUAAUCGCGGAUCAGCAUGUCGCGGUGAAUACGUUCCCGGGUCUUGUACACACCGCCCGUCACACCAUGGGAGCGGGUUUUACCAGAAGUAGGUAGCUUAACCGCAAGGAGGGCGCUUACCACGGUAGGAUCGU